CUCGUCCCUUCUACGUUGGAUAACUCGUAGGGAAACGAGAGACUAAUACCGAAUACCGACCUACUUCGAGGCAUCUGAUGGGUGGUAGGAAGUUCCGGCGGUGAAGGAUGAGCUCGCGGCCUAUCAGCUAGUUGGUGGAGUAACGGCCCACCAAGGCUUCGACGGGUAGCCGGCCUGAGAGGGUGACCGGCCACACUGGGACUGAGACACGGCCCAGACUCCUACGGGAGGCAGCAGUGGGGAAUAUUGGACAAUGGGCGAAAGCCUGAUCCAGCAACGCCGCGUGAGGGAUGACGGCCUUCGGGUUGUAAACCUCUUUCAGUAGGGACGAAGCGCAAGUGACGGUACCUACAGAAGAAGCACCGGCCAACUACGUG
RNAcentral lists this ribosomal RNA (377 nucleotides) under uncultured bacterium. Its description in RNAcentral is "bacterial SSU rRNA". It matches the Rfam family "Bacterial small subunit ribosomal RNA", at positions 124 to 507 of the family's 1533-position model. The record is from RNAcentral.